GGUCAUAUCACGUUGAAAUAAAUUCUCAUACGAUCACCAAAGUUAAGCAACAUUGAGUCUGGUCAGUACCAAGAUGAGUGACCACUUGAGAAUACCAGGUGCUGUAA
This is a non-coding RNA of Acanthosepion pharaonis, 107 nucleotides long. The record is from the annotation of a GenBank genome assembly. NCBI's taxonomy places the organism in Eukaryota, Metazoa, Mollusca, Cephalopoda, Sepiida, Sepiidae.